CCAGACUCCUACGGGAGGCAGCAGUGGGGAAUAUUGCACAAUGGGGGAAGCCCUGAUGCAGCGACGCCGCGUGGGCGACGAAGCGCUCCGGCGCGUAAAGCCCUGUCAGCAGGGAAGAAAAUGACGGUACCUGAAGAAGAAGCCCCGGCUAACUACGUGCCAGCAGCCGCGGUAAUACGUAGGGGGCAAGCGUUAUCCGGAUUUACUGGGUGUAAAGGGGGCGCAGACGGCGAUGCAAGCCAGGAGUGAAAGCCCGGGGCCCAACCCCGGGACUGCUCUUGGAACUGCGUGGCUGGAGUGCAGGAGGGGCAGGCGGAAUUCCUGGUGUAGCGGUGAAAUGCGUAGAUAUCAGGAGGAACACCGGUGGCGAAGGCGGCCUGCUGAACUGCAACUGACGUUGAGGCCCGAAAGCGUGGGGAGCAAACAGGAUUAGAUACCCUCGUA
RNAcentral lists this ribosomal RNA (444 nucleotides) under uncultured bacterium. RNAcentral's name for it is "bacterial SSU rRNA". It matches the Rfam family "Bacterial small subunit ribosomal RNA", at positions 331 to 792 of the family's 1533-position model. The record is from RNAcentral.